GACGAACGCUGGCGGCGUGCCUAAUACAUGCAAGUCGAACGCUUCCUACCGGUGCUUGCACCGGGAAAGAAGAGUGGCGGACGGGUGAGUAACACGUGGGUAACCUACCUACAAGCGGGGGAUAACAUUCGGAAACGGAUGCUAAUACCGCAUAGAUCUUUUUGUCUCCUGGCAGAAAGAAGAAAGACGGUUUCGGCUGUCACUUGUAGAUGGACCCGCGGCGCAUUAGUUAGUUGGUGAGGUAAUGGCUCACCAAGACGAUGAUGCGUAGCCGACCUGAGAGGGUGAUCGGCCACACUGGGACUGAGACACGGCCCAGACUCCUACGGGAGGCAGCAGUAGGGAAUCUUCCGCAAUGGACGAAAGUCUGACGGAGCAACGCCGCGUGAGUGAAGAAGGUUUUCGGAUCGUAAAACUCUGUUGUUAGAGAAGAACAAGGAUGAGAGUAACUGCUCGUCCCUUGACGGUAUCUAACCAGAAAGCCAUGGCUAACUACGUGCCAGCAGCCGCGGUAAUACGUAGAUGGCAAGCGUUGUCCGGAUUUAUUGGGCGUAAAGCGAGCGCAGGCGGGUUCUUUAAGUCUGAUGUGAAAGCCCCUGGCUCAACCAGGGAGGGUCAUUGGAAACUGGAGAACUUGAGUGCAGAAGAGGAAAGUGGAAUUCCAUGUGUAGCGGUGAAAUGCGUAGAUAUAUGGAGGAACACCAGUGGCGAAGGCGACUUUCUGGUCUGUAACUGACGCUGAGGCUCGAAAGCAUGGGGAGCAAACAGGAUAGAUACCCUGGUAGUCCAUGCCGUAACGAUGAGUGCUAGUGUGGAGGUUUCCGCCCUUCCGUGCUGCAGCUAACGCCCUAAGCACUCCCGCCUGGGGAGUACGACCCGCAAGUGAAACUCAAGAUGACGGGGGCCCGCCCAGCGGUGGGCAUGUGGUAUCGAGCACGCGAGACUACAGCUUGAAUCCUUGAACACUCAGAUAGAGCUCCCUCGGAAAUGACUGUCCAUGUGUCUAC
RNAcentral lists this ribosomal RNA (1007 nucleotides) under uncultured bacterium. RNAcentral describes it as "bacterial SSU rRNA". It matches the Rfam family "Bacterial small subunit ribosomal RNA", at positions 28 to 1000 of the family's 1533-position model. The record is from RNAcentral.